GACGAACGCUGGCGGCGUGCUUAACACAUGCAAGUCGAACGGAAAGGCCCUGCUUUUGUGGGGUGCUCGAGUGGCGAACGGGUGAGUAACACGUGAGUAACCUGCCCUUGACUUUGGGAUAACUUCAGGAAACUGGGGCUAAUACCGGAUAGGAGCUCCUGCUGCAUGGUGGGGGUUGGAAAGUUUCGGCGGUUGGGGAUGGACUCGCGGCUUAUCAGCUUGUUGGUGGGGUAGUGGCUUACCAAGGCUUUGACGGGUAGCCGGCCUGAGAGGGUGACCGGCCACAUUGGGACUGAGAGACGGCCCAGACUCGUACGGGAGGCAGCAGUGGGGAGUAUUGCACAAUGGGCGGAAGCCUGAUGCAGCAACGCCGCGUGCGGGAUGACGGCCUUCGGGUUGUAAACCGCUUUCGCCUGUGACGAAGCGUGAGUGACGGUAAUGGGUAAAGAAGCACCGGCUAACUACGUG
Molecule: ribosomal RNA, 468 nt
Filed under: uncultured bacterium
Lineage: Bacteria
Description: partial 16S ribosomal RNA
Rfam family: Bacterial small subunit ribosomal RNA
Source: RNAcentral